UACGAAGGUGGCUAGCGUUGUUCGGAAUAACUGGGCGUAAAGCGCAUGUAGGCGGAUCUUUAAGUCAGAGGUGAAAUCCCAGGGCUCAACCCCGGCAUUGCCUUUGAUACUGGAGAUCUGGAGUCUGGGAGAGGUGAGUGGAAUUCCGAGUGUAGAGGUGAAAUUCGUAGAUAUUCGGAGGAACACCAGUGGCGAAGGCGGCUCACUGGCCCGAGACUGACGGUGAGAUGCGAAAGCGUGGGGAGCAAACAGG
This 253-nucleotide ribosomal RNA is filed under the name uncultured bacterium. Its description in RNAcentral is "partial 16S ribosomal RNA". It matches the Rfam family "Bacterial small subunit ribosomal RNA", at positions 524 to 776 of the family's 1533-position model. The record is from RNAcentral.